This 208-nucleotide long non-coding RNA is filed under the name Anas platyrhynchos platyrhynchos (common mallard). RNAcentral's name for it is "lncRNA (ENSAPLG00000028862.1)". The record is from RNAcentral. Lineage: Eukaryota; Metazoa; Chordata; Aves; Anseriformes; Anatidae.
UACAUCUUUUGGGGCAUUCAGAAGAUCACCGGAGAGGUCUUGGAUCAACAUCAUGAAGAAAGAAAACGCAUGUGAUGCUCAGCGCUGCCUUCUUAUAGAAGGUCUCCCAGAGCCUUCUCUCCAGGCUGAACAACCCCAAAGCUCUCAGCCAGCAUAACAAUACAUUUGAGAAACACUGCAGAAAUGAGCGUGCCAUUUGUUUUGUCCG